Molecule: long non-coding RNA, 567 nt
Filed under: Mus musculus (house mouse)
Lineage: Eukaryota; Metazoa; Chordata; Mammalia; Rodentia; Muridae
Description: predicted gene, 47633
Source: RNAcentral
GGCAGGCUUGUGAGAAUCAUUAUGCUCUGUUUUAUUUUGUGGUUGAAGGCUUUAUUGUUUGUUUGUUUAUUUAUGUAAUUUGCAGCAUAAGUCUUAAGCCUGUAAUGUUAUGUUACCUGCCCCUUGACCCUCUCCCCGUAUAAGGAGAUUUGAAGGAGAAAGUGUUAUUUCACAGUUUUGGAACUUCUGACACAAGCGUUUUCAGAUAGUGAAUAGAACCUAGAAGCUGCAGACUAAAUAGAAAUGAGGUUCAUGCUAGUGGCUGGGUCCAUAUGGAGGCUCCCUAGCAUAGCUCACACCAUGAGUAAUCAGAGAGGCACCUCAUCACCUGGUUUUAUGAAGUAUGCCUGUGAUUUCCCAGCCCUAUAAAAGUUGAGAAAUCAAGAAAGAAAAGCCAUAGAGAACUUAGGUAAAAAUGAAAAGGACAAAUCGGUAGUUUAGUAAAAACAUCUCUGAAAUUGUUGGCUGACAUGGGGAUAAAAAUAUCUAUUCCAUUUAAUUCAAAGAUGCUAAAAAAUUAUUUCUAUUUCUGUCUUCCCUCUAAAUAAACUCUCUAGAAACUAAAAA